GCCGGGCAUGGUGGUGCACGCCUGUAAUCCCAGCUACUCAGGAGGCUGAGGCAGGAGAAUCGCUUGAACUCGGGAGGCAGGGGUUGCAGUGGGCCGAGAUCACGCCACUGCACUCUGGCCUGGGUGACAGAGCGAGACUCUGUCUCAA
Unclassified non-coding RNA from Pongo abelii (Sumatran orangutan), 148 nucleotides. It matches the Rfam family "Metazoan signal recognition particle RNA". Rfam says of the family: The signal recognition particle (SRP) is a universally conserved ribonucleoprotein. It is involved in the co-translational targeting of proteins to membranes. NCBI's taxonomy places the organism in Eukaryota, Metazoa, Chordata, Mammalia, Primates, Hominidae. The record is from Ensembl.